AAAUUGAAGAGUUUGAUCAUGGCUCAGAUUGAACGCUGGCGGCAGGCCUAACACAUGCAAGUCGAACGGUAACAGGAAGAAGCUUGCUUCUUUGCUGACGAGUGGCGGACGGGUGAGUAAUGUCUGGGAAACUGCCUGAUGGAGGGGGAUAACUACUGGAAACGGUAGCUAAUACCGCAUAACGUCGCAAGACCAAAGAGGGGGACCUUAGGGCCUCUUGCCAUCGGAUGUGCCCAGAUGGGAUUAGCUAGUAGGUGGGGUAACGGCUCACCUAGGCGACGAUCCCUAGCUGGUCUGAGAGGAUGACCAGCCACACUGGAACUGAGACACGGUCCAGACUCCUACGGGAGGCAGCAGUGGGGAAUAUUGCACAAUGGGCGCAAGCCUGAUGCAGCCAUGCCGCGUGUAUGAAGAAGGCCUUCGGGUUGUAAAGUACUUUCAGCGGGGAGGAAGGGAGUAAAGUUAAUACCUUUGCUCAUUGACGUUACCCGCAGAAGAAGCACCGGCUAACUCCGUGCCAGCAGCCGCGGUAAUACGGAGGGUGCAAGCGUUAAUCGGAAUUACUGGGCGUAAAGCGCACGCAGGCGGUUUGUUAAGUCAGAUGUGAAAUCCCCGGGCUCAACCUGGGAACUGCAUCUGAUACUGGCAAGCUUGAGUCUCGUAGAGGGGGGUAGAAUUCCAGGUGUAGCGGUGAAAUGCGUAGAGAUCUGGAGGAAUACCGGUGGCGAAGGCGGCCCCCUGGACGAAGACUGACGCUCAGGUGCGAAAGCGUGGGGAGCAAACAGGAUUAGAUACCCUGGUAGUCCACGCCGUAAACGAUGUCGACUUGGAGGUUGUGCCCUUGAGGCGUGGCUUCCGGAGCUAACGCGUUAAGUCGACCGCCUGGGGAGUACGGCCGCAAGGUUAAAACUCAAAUGAAUUGACGGGGGCCCGCACAAGCGGUGGAGCAUGUGGUUUAAUUCGAUGCAACGCGAAGAACCUUACCUGGUCUUGACAUCCACAGAACUUUCCAGAGAUGGAUUGGUGCCUUCGGGAACUGUGAGACAGGUGCUGCAUGGCUGUCGUCAGCUCGUGUUGUGAAAUGUUGGGUUAAGUCCCGCAACGAGCGCAACCCUUAUCCUUUGUUGCCAGCGGUCCGGCCGGGAACUCAAAGGAGACUGCCAGUGAUAAACUGGAGGAAGGUGGGGAUGACGUCAAGUCAUCAUGGCCCUUACGACCAGGGCUACACACGUGCUACAAUGGCGCAUACAAAGAGAAGCGACCUCGCGAGAGCAAGCGGACCUCAUAAAGUGCGUCGUAGUCCGGAUUGGAGUCUGCAACUCGACUCCAUGAAGUCGGAAUCGCUAGUAAUCGUGGAUCAGAAUGCCACGGUGAAUACGUUCCCGGGCCUUGUACACACCGCCCGUCACACCAUGGGAGUGGGUUGCAAAAGAAGUAGGUAGCUUAACCUUCGGGAGGGCGCUUACCACUUUGUGAUUCAUGACUGGGGUGAAGUCGUAACAAGGUAACCGUAGGGGAACCUGCGGUUGGAUCACCUCCUUACCUUAAAGAAGC
RNAcentral lists this ribosomal RNA (1554 nucleotides) under Escherichia coli. RNAcentral's name for it is "bacterial SSU rRNA". It matches the Rfam family "Bacterial small subunit ribosomal RNA". Lineage: Bacteria; Pseudomonadati; Pseudomonadota; Gammaproteobacteria; Enterobacterales; Enterobacteriaceae. The record is from RNAcentral.